GACGAACGCUGGCGGCGUGCUUAACACAUGCAAGUCGAACGGAAAGGCCCUGCUUUUGUGGGGUGCUCGAGUGGCGAACGGGUGAGUAACACGUGAGUAACCUGCCCUUGACUUUGGGAUAACUUCAGGAAACUGGGGCUAAUACCGGAUAGGAGCUCCUGCUGCAUGGUGGGGGUUGGAAAGUUUCGGCGGUUGGGGAUGGACUCGCGGCUAAUCAGCUUGUUGGUGGGGUAGUGGCUUACCAAGGCUUUGACGGGUAGCCGGCCUGAGAGGGUGACCGGCCACAUUGGGACUGAGAUACGGAGCAGACUCCUACGGGAGGCAGCAGUGGGGAAUAUUGCACAAUGGGCGGAAGCCUGAUGCAGCAACGCCGCGUGCGGGAUGACGGCCUUCGGGUUGUAAACCGCUUUCGCCUGUGACGAAGCGGGAGUGACGGUAAUGGGUAAAGAAGCACCGGCUAACUACGUG
This 468-nucleotide ribosomal RNA is filed under the name uncultured bacterium. Its description in RNAcentral is "partial 16S ribosomal RNA". It matches the Rfam family "Bacterial small subunit ribosomal RNA", at positions 28 to 507 of the family's 1533-position model. The record is from RNAcentral.